AGCAGGUGGUGAAACCACUGAGCUAAAUCCCCGGUCCUUUGCAGUGUCUUUUUAAAGAAAAUGAGAAGAAUGCCCACAAAUGUUAGGACAGAAUUAUGGAGGGAAAAUACUUUCUCAAAUUAAAAAUGGACUGGAGGAUACAGCUCAGCAGUAAAUCACUUGCUUAACAUGCAUAAGGCCCUCAGUUUGAUCCCCAGCACUAUGGCAGAAAAAAUGAAAACUGAAAGGUUGCGGGGAAUGGAGUAAAGAUCAGCGCUGGGAGGCAGAGGAUGUGGUAUAAAUAAGCAUUGAUUUGUAGUUUUGUUUCUAUGUAGAUUACUUACAACUAACGUAAAAUGAAUGUUUGAUUUCUUGAGCAUGCAGAUGGUGAAGGAUGGAAAGCCAACCUGGAGGCACAAAUUUCAGCAGAUGCUCUGCUUCCAGGUAGUGGAAGUGACUUAUUUUCUUUUUGUGGUUCUGGGUAUUGAAGCCAGGACCUCACCCAUGCUAGGCAAAUGCUCUAACACUGAGCUACAUCCCAGACCUAGUAUAAAUGAUUUUUUUCUUUUCAGUACUAGGGAAGGGGAGAGAGCCAAGGUCCUCUACCACUGAGCUAUGUCCCCAGCCCUUUUUAGUUUUAUUUAUUUUUUCUAUUUUGAGACAGGGUCCUGCUAAAUUGCAGGCUGGACUCAAACUUGUGAUUCUCCUGCUUGGCCUCUCAACUAGCUGGGAUUACAGGCAUGCAUCACUAUACCCAGCCUUCAAAAAUGACUUUUUAACAGUGCUAAUAUCUUCAAUCCAAAAGCAACACCAUCUCCAUCCAAAGGGAAUCUUUAAAUCUCAAGAUGGAUCACCUUCACCAUGAUUAGACUGCAGAUAGAAUAAGGCCUCAUGAAGAUAUUUUUGGUGGCUUUAAAUUGUUGGGAACAGAUACAUAGAGAAGAAACUGCAACUAUGCUCUUUUUUUUUCCUGGUUCCUCAGUCUCCUGAUAUAGUUAACAUUUCACAACUAAAAUAACCUUAAUGAACACUUGAUUAUACUUUUUUUGAAGAUACAUUUCAUGACCUCAGACUGCAGAAACUGCCAUCUCCUAGGCACAGUUUACAUUUGAUCCUUUGCUUAUGUCCCGAGAGCAUCGCAUAUUGGGAGACAUUGCUUUUAUAAAGGCAGUGGCUGCUGGGCCUGGUGAUGCACACCUAUAAUCCCAGCACAUAACAUCAGUGGCCAGCUUGCCUCAGUGUUAAUAAGGACCAGCAUGCAGGUUCAGUUUUGCUCUUCACUUUGGUCCUGAAUUGAGAGCUGAGUCAAGAGAAGUCAGCAGGUCUGCUCAAAAAUGUACGGGUCUUGGGGCCAGAGAUGUAGCUCAGUAGUUCCACUACCUGCCUCACAAGCACAAGGUCCUGAGUUCGAUCCCUGGUACAAAAAAAAAAAAUGUAUGAGUCUUUUUUUUUCCCCAAAAGACAGAUUAUUAUUGAGCCCACUUCGGUCAAGGAGCACUGAAUAUUGUGUUAAAAUAGUACUUUACUUCAUGCUUGAAAUUAACAUUUUAAAGAAUCAUGUAAAUAGUUUAAAGGUAGCUGGAUUUAUUGUAGCCAAAUGAGAAAUACAGCUGUUAAUGAGAGGGCAUAACUUGUGUAGUUCUUAAUUAUUUACAUCAUUAGAGAAACACAAAUAUGACUAGUUCAGAGCAAUUUAACUUUGCAGUGAGAGUUUCUGCGUACCUUUAUAUGUGGGGAUAGCUGAGAUCCUUGGAAUUUACUUUGAGUGAAUGAUGGAAAUACCCGAGAAAACGUAGUGCUAGGACCUCUACUUUUUCUCAGGUCCAGUCACCAACUUCCUACAAACCAGGCAUGAAGAAAAACAAAAAAUAAAUUCUCCAGAAAAUAGGAUGCUUCUCUUCACCCAGGCACAGCUUCUAAGAUAGAUAACAGUUAUUGCAAAGUACAUGUUUUUAAAUGAUCUCCAGUGUGGAUUGCUUCUGAGCCACUGAUGGAAUGAGUACUCCCGGAAGGAAUGUAUCAUUUGGAAUCCAGAAUCAUUCAUCAAGGAUAACUGCCUGAUCCUAUGAUUUCGUGACUGACGCUGAAAUGGAAGCCAACUGAUGCUGAAAUUUGGGGGAAAAUUACAUCUGAAGAAUGCAAGAGAAAGUAGGAAUUCAUUUCUAGCAUUCCCAAACCUGCCUUGUAUUGUCUACUGUACUAUAGUCAGAGGACAACAACUGAGUUCAUGGAAUUUGCCAGCUAAGCCUUACAACUGUCUUAAAUGUUCUUAGGAAAUACACUGAAAAGGUAAGUGAAUUGUCCAUUUAGAAGAAAGACUAAUAGGUAUUUUUAAGUCAGUUGUUAUAUUUUAAUAAAGACAGGGAGCUCCUUUAUUCCAAACUUCAAAGUCGUGCCCCUACUGGGUGACUUCAGUACUGUGGCAAACGUGGAGUUGUUCAACCAGCCUGGAGCUUUUCCUCUACUCAGCUACUAAGCCAGAACAUGCGUUGAAGUGCAUAGCAUGCUAAUUUCUGUUGUCUUGUUGUGCUCAAAUCCUUUUUUUUAAAAAAUUACUUUGUUUCAGAUGAGAUUUAGUUUUAUCACUCAGUAUAUAGAAAAGAGUGUUUAAUGUUUCAAAGAUUCAGCAUUACAUUUGCAUUAGAUAGAAUCAAGAAUAAAUUAAGGGUUUUAAAUGAUUUCUGUUAAUACCUACUUAUAUUAGUUUUGUGGAUUAUUAAAAAAUAUUAUUACAUUUAUUAUGUUCCUGUGUGAUAGGUAUUGUGCCAGGCCCUGGAAUACAGAGGGACUAGCAUGCACAGUUUAUGUCCUUUGUUCAUACAAUACAGAUAGCAUUCUGGUUUAGAGAAUCAAGAUAUGAUAUAAAAAGGCUAAUUCCAUUUUCUCAUCAAUAAUUUACUCUGAUAACUACUAUGUUAACUUAGCAUAAUAAAUUCUUUAUGAAAGUGUCUUCGUUUGUGUGUUUAACAUUUAUUAAAUACUUUGUGCCAGGUAUUGUGUUAAACUCUUUACAUAUAUUUCUUUACUCAUAUCUCUUCUUUGAGGUAGGUACUAUUACUAAAACUCAUUUUCUAAGAAAAGUAGAGAAGCUAACUAACUUAACUUGUGCUGAGUUUGCCUACCUAUGAUCUGGGACCAAUAUUUGGACCCAGGUAAGCUAAUUCCAGAAUCUACACUCUUUCUUUGGGUAUGAUGUUGAUAUGCAGUACCUGGCUAUGAGUAUCCAUAAACCAUUCCAAACUCUUAAUAGAAAUUUUCCCUAAAUUCUUCUCUAGCUCCAAGACAGUUUGCAUGCUGACCUUUCCUCUUACCCCAGGCCCCAAGUGUAAAGGACUGGAACAGAAGAGCAGAGCUUGGCAGUUACAUUUUAUAUUUAGGAUCUUGUCUCUCAGAUCCACCCCUUUUAUUUUUGGAAUGUGAGCAUUUUCUUUAGCUGCUAAAUCAUGAGAAAAUACAGCUGCUGAGAUUUUUCCUAGGAUUAAAAAAAAGAUUAGGCAUUGUUGAAGUGAAGAAAAAUUGCUCUGAGAACCACAGGUAGGUAAUUUGCCCCCUGUUGUAUGGAAAGCCCCUGCACCUCUGUCCA
Molecule: long non-coding RNA, 3562 nt
Filed under: Heterocephalus glaber (naked mole-rat)
Lineage: Eukaryota; Metazoa; Chordata; Mammalia; Rodentia; Bathyergidae
Description: lncRNA (ENSHGLG00000036864.1)
Source: RNAcentral